UGGAUAAGAUGGGCUAUUGAACAGGCUUACAUUUAUCUUCUUUUUACAAUACAUCUGGCCAUGCCCACGUUCAGGUAGGUACUUACGUUGCCAACGGGAUCUGUGCAAAUAAUGUGUUUCUUGUCCCUCCCAUCAAACUCCUCCCCUUCUACGCCAAAACAGUCACUAAAAGUUGACACUGAAAAGUACUGACAUCGAAAAAAGACUUGCAUUGUAAAAAAAAACGCACUGAAAAAGGCUGACAUGAAGAAACAAAGAAAAUAUUGUCAUUGAAAAAGCACAUCAGAAUAAACAAAAAAAAACAUCAAAACGUCUUUUCAGUGCCCAAAGUUUUCAAUUCAAGUGUUUUAAUGCCAAAGUUCAAUUACUCAGUUUAGUUUUUUAUCAUGCUGAUUUUGUGCUUUUUCAGUGCCAAACCUAAAGUCUCUGUUUUAGCUCCAUAUCAACCCGGGUUCAAUUCAAUUUCUUUAACGCCUUUGUAUGUUGCGUUGAGAAAAGCUUCUGCUCAAUAUUCAAACUCCACUGUUAUGCUGAGGAUCUGCGUUGCGUUUGAUUCAACGCUGGUAAACAGGUGACAUACGGUCUUCAUCUGCAAGGUAACCAGGAGGUGCAGCUGAGGGGUGUGUUUAACACAUUAGGAGGGUCCUUCUGCCUGAAGACUGAUGGCAGUCCAACCUGUCAUUUUCACUGCCAACCCUCAUUAGACUCCUCCCAACGCAGUCUCAACCGCCAAUGGAUUUUCCAUCAGUAUCCAAAGAAGGGAAAGGAUGAAUUGAAAAGGAUGGCACAUGUCUCUAGUUGGGUGUGGUCUACCUUGUUGAGACACAUAUCUGGAAGCCUUACUGUAAUUACCAAGAAUGUUUUGAGACCCACUGGGGAUUUAGAGUACACAGGGUCUGACGUGCUGCAUAUAUGGAUUCACCUCACUGACAUUUAAUUGGUUGUUGCAUUUCUGGAGGGUGAUUAAGGACAAACAUUUGAUAGAGUUAUUUCUGUAUAUCUGGAUUAAAUGGACCCGUGGACUCGUCUGAACUACUGUUACACAAUAAGUUACACAUACCAUCAACCGAAAAAUGACUAACCUGGACUUAUCAACGGAAUUUCUUUAAAUUGCAUCAACAUGAACAUGCACCACUCUAACAGCUUCUGCUUUAAAUGACAAUUUCACAGUAGACAGUAGACUUAGGCCUGUUCACAUUAAGCUAAUUGAAACAUUGCAUGAGAUCCCACAGAAAUGAAACACCAUAUUGUAUUUGAGCAUGUGUUUGAAAUAAAAGUCCGAUGGGAACCAUUCAGUUCUCUUUGGGCUUAAUUGGGCCUCGCAUGAACAGAGAGGGCGGAUAAAGAGAUGCAGGGGGCCAGCAUCUGCACAAAUGAGCUCAAUAAAACACAGACAUCAUGUUUAGCACUAAACUUAAUGGGACAUUUCAUUUCCACAUUUCAUAUUUGGCUUUUUCUUUUGUAAAGCUGCAAGCAUAGUUUCACACAAGUUGGUAAUUGUGUGUGUGUUUUUGUGUGUGUGUGUGUAAAUGAAAAAAGAUUACUUUCACAGUGGUGUCCUCUCUUGACAUUUUGACUCAAUUCCUGUCAAACAUUCACAAAAGAUGCUUUUUUUCCCCGUUGCUUUUAACUCGUUUUUGCUUUUUUUCCAUUUUGAAUGUGGUGACACUCUAAAUGUAUCUUUCUUGAGUGAAUAGGCAUCUGG
This is a long non-coding RNA of Clupea harengus (Atlantic herring), 1705 nucleotides long. RefSeq lists it as uncharacterized. Lineage: Eukaryota; Metazoa; Chordata; Actinopteri; Clupeiformes; Clupeidae. The record is from RefSeq and is a predicted model, not a curated record.